Molecule: ribosomal RNA, 363 nt
Filed under: Lacerta bilineata
Lineage: Eukaryota; Metazoa; Chordata; Lepidosauria; Squamata; Lacertidae
Description: partial 12S ribosomal RNA
Rfam family: Bacterial small subunit ribosomal RNA
Source: RNAcentral
UCUCCGCCAGAGAACUACAAGUGAAAAACUUGAAACUCAAAGGACUUGACGGUGUCCCAUAUCAACCUAGAGGAGCCUGUCCUAUAAUCGAUACUCCACGUUUAACCCAACCCCAACUAGCACAACAUCAGCCUAUAUACCGCCGUCGACAGCCUACCCUAUGAAGGUCUAAUAGUAGACUCAAUAGCCCUACCGCUAGCACGUCAGGUCAAGGUGUAGCAAAUGUUGAGGAAGAGAUUGGCUACAUUUUUUACAAUAAAAAAUACGAAAUGUAUUAUGAAAUCAUACAUGAAGGUGAAUUUAGCAGUAAACUAGAUAAGAGAGUCUAUUUUAACAACGCUCUGGGACGCGUACACACCGCCC